This is a non-coding RNA of Culex pipiens (northern house mosquito), 74 nucleotides long. The record is from Rfam. NCBI's taxonomy places the organism in Eukaryota, Metazoa, Arthropoda, Insecta, Diptera, Culicidae.
GGCUCCGUGGCUUAAUGAUUACGGCUUCUGUUUCCCAAGCAGAAGGUUCAGGGAUCAAAUCCCGGUCGGUACCU